RNAcentral lists this long non-coding RNA (406 nucleotides) under Gossypium raimondii (Peruvian cotton). RNAcentral's name for it is "long non-coding RNA (GRAI_LNC004489)". Lineage: Eukaryota; Viridiplantae; Streptophyta; Magnoliopsida; Malvales; Malvaceae. The record is from RNAcentral.
AGAAAACCCGAAAAACUGCGGAGUAACUUGACAACUUCGUUCGAGGUGUUCCCGAUCUCUAAAAAUCACGAAAUUAAAUCUGGAAUGUCCUUAAAUAUUGAAUUUUUGAUCUGGAAAUUUUGGGCACCAAAUUCAACCCGCUGAAUCUUUUUUUUAAUUUUUUAUUGAAUUUCGUCUUUUUUGAUUUUUUGACUUUUUUGACUGAUUUUUUUGCGGGAAUAAUUUUUUUAUAUUCAAUAACAGUGCCACAAAUGUGUAUGUAAAAUUUCAGAUCAAUCGGACAAUGUUUACCCACCCAAAUGAAUUUUUUUUGAACAAUUUUUCUGGGUAAAACUGCUGUUUGUGCUUUAAAAAAUAGAGAUCAGUUUAGAAAUCAACCAAGAACACCCAAAACGCCCAAAAUCUG